This 359-nucleotide long non-coding RNA is filed under the name Numida meleagris (helmeted guineafowl). Its description in RNAcentral is "lncRNA (ENSNMEG00000010793.1)". The record is from RNAcentral. Lineage: Eukaryota; Metazoa; Chordata; Aves; Galliformes; Numididae.
UAGCUCUCAGAAGUUUGGUUAUGAAUCAAUGUCUGUCUUUACAGGGAGGACAUUCUUUAUGUCAGAUCGGGACAGAGUACCAGAAGAGACAGAAGGAAAUAACAGAACAGAAAUAACAGAGAAGAGUUAUCGUGCAGAAUGUAAAAUAAAUAAUUCUAGAAAUGUUUCGGCCUGCUGCAUACUGAAGCCUUAGCUUUGAAAUCGAUACCCAUGCAUCUUUUAAAUGUUCUUAGGUCUGUAUUUCCAGAUGUUUGGACAGAUGCUACUGGCAAGGAACAUCUAAUUAUAUACCUGGAAAUCAGUACUGCUGAUUUAUACUAAUACAGAGAAGAUUAAUGUAAUGUCCUGGUUAGAUGGAG